This 1056-nucleotide long non-coding RNA is filed under the name Nicotiana tabacum (common tobacco). RNAcentral describes it as "long non-coding RNA (NTAB_LNC001831)". Lineage: Eukaryota; Viridiplantae; Streptophyta; Magnoliopsida; Solanales; Solanaceae. The record is from RNAcentral.
UGGGUCUUCUUCUUCUUCUUCACGAAGUUUGUUUCCGCAACAGAAAAAUCUAAAUAAAUACCCCUUUAACAGCGGCUAACAGUGAUGUCAGAAAUUAAAAUGAUGCAGCGAGAAACAAGAAAAUAUAAAGGCACAAUCAACAGUCUAACUACGCGGAAGAAACAAAAAAGACUAAGUAAAAAGAAGAAUCAGAAUCACUGUUGAAAAUUGGGGACUAAAAAAGUACAUGGCAGCCCUUACUCAAAAUGAAACCAAUGGAUGAAACUUGAGACUAAAGACAAGAGCAUGCAUAAGAAAUCUUAUAGAAAAUCCGAUUGAAGAAUUUUCGCAAACACCUAGAGAACAAAAUUUAUUAACAUGUUACACUUUAUUUACAGGAAUCCCCUCACUACUCAGGGAAAAACACAAAGACCUAGCAUAUAAUCAAGGACUGAAAUAAAUCAAUACAAGAAGCACAGAUGGAGGGGAGGAGUGAGAGCAGAAAAAAUCCUACACUUAUAUAACAAAAACCAGAUGCAUUCACACCCUUAAAAUGGGAGAGAAAGUAAAAACUCUAUAGACGACUUCCGAAGAAAAUACAGUAGAGGAUAAAUGGCAGCAUAGGUAAACCAAAUAGGCACCAAUUGUGAGUAAUAACUGAAAAAGGCAUAGAGAAAUACAAGAAAAUAAUUUGAGUUUAUUUUCAGGAAAAUCAAGUAAGAUCGAAAAUGUAAUUUCUAUUGAUAUUUCUCUCAAUACCUUGGGUGGCAUUUGCAGGUGGAUCUCAGUAAGUCGGAGGAAUACGUUUAUUUGGUAGUUGAUGCUACUGUCAUGUUUGAAUCGGGCAGCAAACGAAAACUUUUAGAUCUGGCUUCAAUUAGUUUUGCUGUUGUCGUAAGCCUUUAUAGCUUGAGGAUUUUUUCUGGAGAACUUAAAUGACUAAGCUUUUAGGUCCUCUUGCUUACAGCUUUUGAAGACCCAGUAGAAAAUAACAAUGGAUGGAGGGGAGGAGUGAGAGUAGAGGUAUGAGAGAAGAGGUGUUCGCAGAUGGAGCUUUUCAGAACACGUUGAGCCUGG